This 497-nucleotide ribosomal RNA is filed under the name uncultured bacterium. Its description in RNAcentral is "partial 16S ribosomal RNA". It matches the Rfam family "Bacterial small subunit ribosomal RNA", at positions 28 to 507 of the family's 1533-position model. The record is from RNAcentral.
GAUGAACGCUGGCGGCGUGCCUAAUACAUGCAAGUCGAGCGAACGGACGAGGAGCUUGCUUUUCUGACGUUAGCGGCGGACGGGUGAGUAACACGUGGAUAACCUACCUAUAAGACUGGGAUAACUUCGGGAAACCGGAGCUAAUACCGGAUAAUAUUUUGAACCGCAUGGUUCAAUAGUGAAAGACGGUCUUGCUGUCACUUAUAGAUGGAUCCGCGCUGCAUUAGCUAGUUGGUAAGGUAACGGCUUACCAAGGCAACGAUGCGUAGCCGACCUGAGAGGGUGAUCGGCCACACUGGAACUGAGACACGGUCCAGACUCCUACGGGAGGCAGCAGUAGGGAAUCUUCCGCAAUGGGCGAAAGCCUGACGGAGCAACGCCGCGUGAGUGAUGAAGGUCUUCGGAUCGUAAAACUCUGUUAUUAGGGAAGAACAAAUGUGUAAGUAACUAUGCACGUCUUGACGGUACCUAAUCAGAAAGCCACGGCUAACUACGUG